GGUGCUUGCAUCAUGAUUUACAUUUGAGUGAGUGGCGAACUGGUGAGUAACACGUGGGAAACCUGCCCAGAAGCGGGGGAUAACACCUGGAAACAGAUGCUAAUACCGCAUAACAACUUGGACCGCAUGGUCCGAGUUUGAAAGAUGGCUUCGGCUAUCACUUUUGGAUGGUCCCGCGGCGUAUUAGCUAGAUGGUGAGGUAACGGCUCACCAUGGCAAUGAUACGUAGCCGACCUGAGAGGGUAAUCGGCCACAUUGGGACUGAGACACGGCCCAAACUCCUACGGGAGGCAGCAGUAGGGAAUCUUCCACAAUGGACGAAAGUCUGAUGGAGCAACGCCGCGUGAGUGAAGAAGGGUUUCGGCUCGUAAAACUCUGUUGUUAAAGAAGAACAUAUCUGAGAGUAACUGUUCAGGUAUUGACGGUAUUUAACCAGAAAGCCACGGCUAACUACGUGCCAGCAGCCGCGGUAAUACGUAGGUGGCAAGCGUUGUCCGGAUUUAUUGGGCGUAAAGCGAGCGCAGGCGGUUUUUUAAGUCUGAUGUGAAAGCCUUCGGCUCAACCGAAGAAGUGCAUCGGAAACUGGGAAACUUGAGUGCAGAAGAGGACAGUGGAACUCCAUGUGUAGCGGUGAAAUGCGUAGAUAUAUGGAAGA
This 655-nucleotide ribosomal RNA is filed under the name Lactiplantibacillus plantarum. RNAcentral describes it as "bacterial SSU rRNA". It matches the Rfam family "Bacterial small subunit ribosomal RNA", at positions 64 to 705 of the family's 1533-position model. The record is from RNAcentral. Lineage: Bacteria; Bacillati; Bacillota; Bacilli; Lactobacillales; Lactobacillaceae.